Molecule: long non-coding RNA, 1249 nt
Organism: Lutra lutra (Eurasian river otter)
Lineage: Eukaryota; Metazoa; Chordata; Mammalia; Carnivora; Mustelidae
Exons: 4
Source: RefSeq, a predicted model, not a curated record
ACAUGGACGGACACACACACACAAAUGGACACCCCCCCAACAAGGUGCCUGCUGGCACAGACCAGGCUCACCUGACUAUCCAAGCCCAGAGUCAGGAGCAUAAAGAAGAAAAGGAAGGACCAGAAGGGCGACAGAGGCAGCAUGGUCAUGGCCUGUGGGUAGACGACAAAGGCCAGGCCAGGGCCUGGGCCAGGCGCACAAAGGGUCAGCAGACUGGGGCACAAGGCAGGCCCUCACAGGCACACUCAAACACACACGGUUGCUUCCAUCCCCGUGGGCACACUCAUUUAGUCAGAUCCAGACAUGCAUCCUAGUGUACACUUCCAACACUGAACCCCUAAACCCCGGCCAGGAUGCCGUGGCUGCUCAAUGAACACAGCUUGACAAGAUAAAUGAACUGAUAAGGAGUGCAGGAAGAAACAUAAGACAAUAUAAAACCUCAUUUGAAUACACUUCCGUAUACCAUCAUCCACACAAACAAUCCCACUAACACACAGACGUGGACUUGUCCUCCGGCACAAGACACUGAUUCACAUCAUUGUCCACCCCCCGCCCCCCACCCCGAGGCUGGCCUGCCUGCCCACCUGCUUUGGCUACUUGGUCCACAGGCACACCCAGCUCCUGAGACAUGUAGCCCAGCACAGAGAAGAUGGCGAAGCCAGCCAGGAUGCUGGUGAUGGCAUUGCCCAGAGUGACGAUGAAGGAGGCGAAGGUGAGGAGACCCCCGAAGCCCACACCCAGGGAGUAGAAGAUCUGAAGAGCAGCUUCAAUCCACACCUGUGGCAGGGAAGGAUGCAGAUGGACAGCAGAGAGAAGGGGCUGGCACACCGAGGCCCUGUCCAGAGGACCACGGAAAGAGGAGGGAGGAGGUGGGGUGGGAGCUAGUCCACAGGUCCAGGGACGGCAUGGUGGAGAGCCUGGCUCCAGGUGAUGUGGGCCGGGAGCAAACCCCGUUCCAGCACUUACACGGCGGGACUUGGGGAGCCCUCCUCCUUCUACUCCCUGGCUCAGUCCUGACUCCUCCCUCAGCACCCCAGCCCCAAGUGCCUCACCUUGGAAGACAGCAGGUGGUGGAACUGGGGGGUGAGAUAGAAUUGGAUGCCCUUCCAAGCCCCUGGGAGGGUGACUCCUCGGACCAGCAGCAUGAGCAGAAUGAGGCAGUGCCUCCGAUGCCUACUCCCCACCCCUACCCUCAACCUCUGCCCCGUUGAUGUCUGUUCAUCCUCUCCAAUUCAGUCCAUGCCCUGCC